GUGCAGUAGGUAAGACUUAUAAAACUAACUUCCUUUCACAUUUGCUGAAACUGACCUUAUGUUCGAGUAGAACUAUAUUUUAAAAUAAAUCUAGC
Molecule: long non-coding RNA, 95 nt
Organism: Etheostoma spectabile (orangethroat darter)
Lineage: Eukaryota; Metazoa; Chordata; Actinopteri; Perciformes; Percidae
Exons: 3
Source: RefSeq, a predicted model, not a curated record